RNAcentral lists this long non-coding RNA (842 nucleotides) under Manacus vitellinus (golden-collared manakin). Its description in RNAcentral is "lncRNA (ENSMVIG00005017485.1)". Lineage: Eukaryota; Metazoa; Chordata; Aves; Passeriformes; Pipridae. The record is from RNAcentral.
GUUCCAGAAAUCAAAUUAAUUUUGCCCUUCCUUGCUCCAGAGCUCCCUGGAUUUUCCUGGAGCCGAGGCAUCAGCACACUGGCAAGGCCACUGAACUGCUCGGGGAAGGAGGAAGGAUAAUCUGAGGAUCGUUUGCCAAGAGGUGCUCCACCCACGGCUGUGACAUUAUUUUGGUGGCUGUGCUCAGCCUGCUCCAUUCCAUACCCUUCCAUCCCAUUCCACACCCUUCCAUCCCAUCCCAUCCCCCUGGUGCCUCGGGUACAGCGACCGUUUGUCACAACACCUCACCCACACACUGCAGCUCUAACCCGACUGCUGACAACAUUUUCUAUUCAGGGGUGGUAGCUGUGAACCUCACUAACUUUGGAUUGCAUCCUUGAGAGGUUUUACCUCUGCAAAUUCAACUGGAAAAGUUCAAGAAUAAAAAUGCACAGAGCACUAAAAGGAACAACCCCCAAAGUCUUCUGUGACUGCCACCCUGUGUCCUCAGGCAUCUUCCAGGAGGUGGAAAAUCGAGGCACUGUGAUGGCACUAUUGUGGCACAGCUUGUGGCACAGAGCUGUCUGGGAGUCACUGCCAGCUGAAGCCAAAAACAAACUCAGCAGCACGGGCUGCAAACCAACACAGGAGGAGCAGAAGAGCCCGGGCAGACCUGCUGCUGUUCCCUUCUGAAGUCACACACAUCUCAAGGUAAAGCACAGCACAAGAUGCUCUGAGAACAAUACUGUUCCUUACAGCCCCUUUUUAAGUCUAUCUCCAGAGGAAAAACUCGUGUUUGUUAAACCCCAGCACAUGUGAGAAGCCACGACAAAGCAAAUAAAGCUGUAGAGGUUUAAGUUGCA